UUCCAUAGUUACAAAUACCACCAAACUCCGUCGAUUAGUCAUUCGUGUAGAGUGUAGCGAGAAAAUGAUAUGUUUGUGAUCUCAACCAUACUAUCAUUUUUUUCGUUAGUCCUCAAUUUCUCUCAAAUGCAUUAAAGCCAGAGAAAUUAUAUGGUCCAUAAGAUACCACAAGUCCAAGCUCCAAAACAAUGUUGACUACCGCGGUAUAAUGAUCU
This 215-nucleotide long non-coding RNA is filed under the name Trifolium pratense (red clover). Its description in RNAcentral is "long non-coding RNA (TPRA_LNC009410)". Lineage: Eukaryota; Viridiplantae; Streptophyta; Magnoliopsida; Fabales; Fabaceae. The record is from RNAcentral.